CAUGCAAGUCAACGGCUUUCUAUGGAAGCUGCUUCCACUGAAAAGAUAGUGGCGAACGGGUGAGUAACAACGUGGGUAACCUGCCCAUAAGAGGGGGAUAACAUCCGGAAACGGGUGCUAAUACGCAUAGUUUUCUUGAUCGCAUGAUCGGGAAAGGAAAGACGGCCUUUGUGCUGUCGCUUAUGGAUGGACCCGCGGCGUAUUAGUUAGUUGGUGAGGUAACGGCUCACCAAGACGAUGAUACGUAGCCGACCUGAGAGGGUGAUCGGCCACAUUGGGACUGAGACACGGCCCAAACUCCUACGGGAGGCAGCAGUAGGGAAUCUUCCGCAAUGGACGAAAGUCUGACGGAGCAACGCCGCGUGAGUGAAAGAAGGUUUUCGGAUCGUAAAACUCUGUUGUCAGAGAAGAACAAGUUGGAGAGUAACUGCUCCAGCCUUGACGGUAUCUGACCAGAAAGCCACGGCUAACUACGUGCCAGCCGCGGC
RNAcentral lists this ribosomal RNA (488 nucleotides) under uncultured bacterium. Its description in RNAcentral is "bacterial SSU rRNA". It matches the Rfam family "Bacterial small subunit ribosomal RNA", at positions 54 to 518 of the family's 1533-position model. The record is from RNAcentral.